Pelobates cultripes (western spadefoot toad) is the source of this 224-nucleotide non-coding RNA. The record is from the annotation of a GenBank genome assembly. Lineage: Eukaryota; Metazoa; Chordata; Amphibia; Anura; Pelobatidae.
GCAAAUUGGUCAACAAAGGUCAAAGUAGCCAAAACUCACAAAAUUCUCCAAGUCAACUGUUCCCAGUUUAAAUUUAGUAAAUAACCCUAUACAAUAAAAAAAAAAAAAGGUGUUUAACAUGAUGCACUGGUGUUAAACAUAUUUUUUAUGAACAAACACAGCAGACAAACACUUUGGGAGACAUGCUCUAAAAAAAAAAAUUCACCAUAAUAUUUGAAGGACAC